UUUUUUUUUUUUUUUUUGACAGCCAGAUUCUGUAGUUAAGUGUCAACUCGUUGACUUAUUAAAUAUUAACAAAAUAAAAUAGGGUGGUAAACGUAAAAUUGAAAAACAAGGAAAUGACAUACAAAGAAAAGCGAAGAGAGACAAGUGGAGGGAGUCAAAUGUAAUGCCAUACCGACAUCAAAUCGUCUUAAGGGCUCGAUGAAUUAAUCCUGUAUACGUAUGCAUAUACGUAUGUAUACAUUUAUACAGCUAAAAUACAUUUAUUUAUACGGUAGACGCCUGAGGGUAAGUCAAAUAGGACCAUUUAUGCUCCCUAAACUCUAGUAGUCCCAAAUGUAUUGGUCCGCCAAUUUUUUUCUUUUUCUCUUCCUCUAUUCAUUGACAACAACUUAUUUAUUUGGUGGGAUCGUACACAUACAAAUAUGUUUUUUACUGACUAGGAUGUUUUCAGUCCUGUAAUUGACAGAUUGACCGGAGUUGUAAUGUGAAUUAUGCGGACAUGCGGUAUUCAUUGACGUACAUUGGUCUCCAAUAUCAAUAGACGUUUUAGCAUAAUUGUGUUGGUUAAUCAAAUCCGCAGUUUAUGUAAAAAUAAAUGUUGAGCCACAGAUAUUGUUGCAGAUAUAUUGAUAUAGUUACUUUAAUCAUCAUGGGUGAAACAAUGAGUUUGGAUGGUUCAUGGUUAUCAUAAUAAAAACAUAAGCACAAUAAAUAAUAUUUUCCUACUAGUUGAAAUGAGUCUUUACUUGUAUUUAUCUUCAUCCUGAUUUUUUUAAAAUAUAUAUAAAUGAAAAAAAAAACACUUCUUCUUAUAUAAAUUCGAAACUCUUGUCUAAAAUAAGCUAAUAGUAGAAUGCAUAAAUAUUUCUUGAAACAUGGGACUAAAAAAAAAGAAUUUAAGGAAAAAUGAUUUGAAAUGAGUAAUUGAUCAUUGUUUUGGAGAAUGAUUAGUAUAAUAACAUAAUAUUUAAUCCAUCAAAUUGAGUUAUAUUAACAUAAAAAAUCAGGUGGACGAUAUCAAAACCAAUGUUGGUGGCAGUUGGUUAUAAACUUAUAACUUAUACCCCCAGAUUUGUUGGCGACGUUGUUCGUUUAAGUUUGACUCCAACUAUUAACUAACUUAACCGGAAUAUUCUUUGGUAGAUAUAACAUAUUAUUGUCUCUUAACUAACCAAAGAAAAAAAAAAUUAUUGUUUCUUAUAGAAAUUUUUCUGACGUCAGGAAAUCGUUAUCAUUUCAAAUUCGAAUACCCACUUUUUUGAAGUACUUUUUAAUAAUUAAUGAGACGUUGUGAUAUUCUCAGAUUAUUUUUGAAGAUUUUAAAAAGCUCAAAUUGAUUUGAUUGCUUCGAUAAAAAUGGGUCCUCGUAUAACAACUCUUAAUAAUGAUACAAUCCAAUACGACUCAUUGGAGAAUCACAUGUGAAAUAAUAUUUGGUGAUGAAGCCAUAUAUUUCGGUAUUGAUCAUCUUAUUAUAUUCUUGAUUCUGUUUUAUGAAACAACCAAAAGAUAUCAUAUCAACCCAAAAAUGCAAUCACAUAAUUGGAUAAUUAUUAUCAUAGAGCUAUUUUAGAUUCUAUAUUUUGAAAAAUCAAGAUAUAGUUAUAUAUAGUUGUUAUAUUCUCUUUUUUAUAUGUAUAGACAAUAGAAAUUAAUCAAGAAAAACAAAAUGACUUGUGCUGAAAUAUGCCAAUUGAUACAUAAAACAUUUGUUUGGUUCUUCAUGACCAUAAUUAAUAUUGUCUCAACUUUGACAAAAAAAAAAAAAAAAAAUUAAUAUUGUCUCAACAGUAUGAUUUUUAAGAAGUUAAAAUAAAAACAAGUACAUAAUUUUCGAAAACAAUUAUACUCUACUAUUUUGAUUAAGAGUUUUCUUAAACUAAUAAUCGCUAUAUUUCACACACACACAAAAAAAGAAAAAGAUAACGAACUUUAAUAGAAUUGACGAAGUUUGGAUUGUAUAUAUGCAAAAUUUGCUUCAAACUUGUUUUAGCUGGUUAUAUAUAUGAUGCAAUUGGGGAAAAUUAUGGGGAAAAAACCCGAAAAAACCGCCAUUUAUUUUUUAUUUGGCUGUUUAAUACUUCGGUUUAUUUUUUUGGAAUAAAAAUACUUUAUAUAUUUAUAGUUGGUAAAAAAAUACUUCAUUUUUUAAUUGUUGGUAGAUUCUAACCCACGACUUAACAUCCGUUAACGGACGUUACGAAACCAUUUAACGGUGAUAAAUUAUUACCUUACGUUUUUAUAAGGUUAUAUACUAUCCUUUUGUAAGCACUACAAUUAUAUUAUCCUCGUCUAGUGGCAACGUGUGGGCUGAGUAAUUCACAAAACCCAGUUUCGAAUCCCCAAUUUUAGUUUUUUUUUUAUUUUUUUUUCCAAUUUUUGUGUGUUCUUUAUCUUCUUCACCGGUGGAGACGGCGACUUCUUCCUCUCCGAUGGCGAUUACUCUGUCACUGCUUUCCGUGUCCUAACCACCGACCACAUCUGGUCUAUUUAAUUUUGUUAAUUGAGGGAAGUUUUUUACUUGAACCUUCAGAUUCAGAGGAAAACAAAAAAACAAAAACAAAAACGUGAUGAGAACAAUUUGUAUGAAUUUAAGGAACUAACGAAGAAACAAUUCAUUAGCAUCAUCACAUAUGGAUCCAAUCAAAUCAAAAAGCAAAAGAGGCGGAGGAGGCAAGGAAAACAAAAGAGGCGGACGAUUCAUGGUGGUCGACGGCUAGGGUUUCAUGGUUGUCGAGGAAGACACAGAAAAAAGCAAAAAAAAACAAAAAAACAAAAGUUGGAGUGUCGAACCCAGGGUCUUGUAUUUUACAAAACCAACGCAUUGCCACUAGACGAGGACAACAUAAUGAUAAUUGGGUACAACGGAUAGUAUAUAUUAGUAUAAACACGUAAGGUUAAAGUUUAACACCGUUAAAUAAUUUUUUAACGUCCGUUAACGGAUGUUAAGUCGUGGGUUGGAAUCUACCAACAAUAAAAAAAUGAGGUAUUUUUUUACCAACUAUAAAUAUAUAAGGUAUUUUUAUUCCAAAAAAAUAAACCGAGGUAUUAAACGGCCAAAAAAAAUAGAUGGCGGUUUUUUCGGGUUUGUUCCCGAAAAUUAUGCAUAUAUUUCUAUUGUAAUUGAUUUAAAAAGAAAAAAAAAAACAGAUAGAGAGAGGGAGAGACGUGAGGGGAGGCACAUGGAGAUGCAGUAGAUUUAGGGUUUAAGAAUGCAUGUGAAAAGUAUAGGUUAUACGACCCUACCCACCCCAAGUCCCUACAUCAUCAACAACAUUUUGGUGACAACCAUCGUGAUCUUUCUCUUUUUCGAUUUUUUGUUUUUCUUAGUUUCCACUAUUCAUGUUCCAAGAAUUGAAAACGUAGGUCCCAUUUCACACUCUCAAAAUCUCAUAUGUAUAUUUUUUUGUCAUUAUAAUAUAUAUAUAUAUACCAUCACUCCAGAAAUCUUUCACUAACAAAAAAUGAAAAACACGGUUUUCUCUUUUCUAUAUGCAGUGGAAGUAGUAAUAAGUUUAUGUUUCGAUUUUGAGAUUUCACGGUUACACAAAAAAAAAUUAAGAUUUGAAAGGCUUAAAUCAUGAAAGAGAUUUAAAUCAAAAUAAAUGAUGUUGUAUAUAGAUACAAGUUGGUGUUAUAUGACAAUUGGGUAGGUCAUAUCCAAACAAACUAGACAACAACAAAGAAAUGAAAACAAAAAAUCCCACCUGCAUUGGAUACCAAGUUACCAAACAGUAUGGUCAACUUAUGUUUAUGUCUUUAUACCACUUUGUAAUUGUCUCUCUUCAUAUCCUUUUCCAUAUAAAAAUCUAUGCUGUAUUUUGUUUGAAUGUUUUUUUUUUCUUUUUUGGCAAAUGGUUCCCAAAUUUUGAAACCAAUAAUAGAUUGGAAAACGACUCAUGCAGCAGCUAUAUAGGUCACAUAUAUAUCAUAAGAUUACUCUGUGUUUCGGCUCAACAAAACCAGUGAUUAAGAAAAAAGAAUUAAAAAAAAAAAAACUUAAAACCUAGAUAUGUAUACAAAUAUUACGAGUAUUUCCAAUGUAACAUGGGCCGUUUUCAUACUGUCCAUAGAUAUCAACGAUGUAAUUAACGUAUGAAUUGUAUUAGGCCUGGGCUCGUAUCAACCUAAUCAAAUAGAAAGGGCCUCUUCUCGACUUGUAGAGUUGCAUCAAGCCUUCUCCAACCUUAGGACAAAAAACAUCUAAAUGCGAGAAACAGUGAUACACUUCAACUAGCCUAAUACUUCAUUUUAGCUGUUAUUCUACCAUUUCUUGAACAUAUUUAUACCUAUUUUAUCUCAAAUUGGUUAUUCGACCAUUCAACUGGCGGACUACCUAUAAAAACUAGAGUACCAGAUUCUAGCAGAUGAUAUUAUAGUUUUAUAUCA
RNAcentral lists this long non-coding RNA (4389 nucleotides) under Arabidopsis lyrata. RNAcentral's name for it is "long non-coding RNA (ALYR_LNC000714)". The record is from RNAcentral. Lineage: Eukaryota; Viridiplantae; Streptophyta; Magnoliopsida; Brassicales; Brassicaceae.